ACCGGGCUGGCUCAGUCAGUAGAGCGUGCGACUCUUGAUCUCAGGGUUGUGAGUUUGAGCCCCAUGUUGGGUG
This 73-nucleotide transfer RNA is filed under the name Felis catus (domestic cat). It matches the Rfam family "tRNA". From Rfam's summary of the family: Transfer RNA (tRNA) molecules are approximately 80 nucleotides in length. Their secondary structure includes four short double-helical elements and three loops (D, anti-codon, and T loops). The record is from Rfam by way of RNAcentral. Lineage: Eukaryota; Metazoa; Chordata; Mammalia; Carnivora; Felidae.